UACGGGGGGGGCAAGCGUUGUUCGGAAUUACUGGGCGUAAAGGGCUGGUAGGCGGCCAACUAAGUCGGAUGUGAAAUCCCCAGGCUUAACCUGGGAACUGCAUCCGAUACUGGUCGGCUUGAAUCCGGGAGAGGGAUGCAGAAUUCCAGGUGUAGCGGUGAAAUGCGUAGAUAUCUGGAGGAAUACCGGUGGCGAAGGCGGAUCUCUGGGCCAUUACUGACGCUGAGGAGCGAAAGCGUGGGGAGCGAACAGG
This 253-nucleotide ribosomal RNA is filed under the name uncultured bacterium. RNAcentral describes it as "partial 16S ribosomal RNA". It matches the Rfam family "Bacterial small subunit ribosomal RNA", at positions 524 to 776 of the family's 1533-position model. The record is from RNAcentral.